AGAACUUGCAAAGCGUUGCUGGAAAAGACGGGAGUUCUACUGACACUCCAGUCCAAAGUUAGGUGGGACCGCCUCCUGUCGCACGUUUCCGCCUGGUCCCGCGCUUUAGGAGCUAGGAAAUGUGACAGAGGCGGUGCCUACUGCCUCGCUAGGAAUGGCCGCGGAGGAGGACUGGUCACGUGGCGUGGCUUCCGGCCUCUGGCGCGUUCCUAUUCGGGAAGGUUUUAAAUGCGGAGUCAUCUCUUGAUUUGUCAGCGAGGCUUUGACUGUGAGCUUCGCGGCGUUCGCGCCUCACCGCCUCACCGCCUCACCGAGGUGGGUACGCUGCGAAGACUAGGCUUAUGUUACCCAGAGGUUAGUCCUCUACUAGGCCACGUACUUUAAAUAAUUUAUCACGCUAGUGGAAAUGCGGGCCGGAAGAAAACCCCACCAGCCUUUGGAUUGUAACAGCACAGUAACUUUCCCUGGUUUUAAAAAAUAUUGCCAAAAUACUGCGACUCCAUGUGGCCAACGUAUAGUGACUGAUCACUUUGAAAUGCAUGCCCUUGACCCACCAACUCGCAUGGCCUCUCGCUAUAAGAGAGCAAGCCGGCUGUGUUCCAUGUUCAAUUCAAUAAGUGCAAUUCAAUAAGCUUUUGACUUGUUCUGCCCAAGCAAAUCCUGCCUUUAUAUCGACCUUGCAAGCAGAACAGAGAAUGCUGUUUGGAAGGCAGAAUUCAUAGUACCUAAUUUUCUUGUCCCUGGGAAUUUUGAGGGACUUGAAAUGUCGCGUGGAUGAGUGAGGGAGUUUGUCUUCCAGAGACAAAGCAAAACGAAAUGUCAAAGUUCUGUGCUGGUGAAACCAGAUUUGAAGAAUAUCAAAGGCGUCUUACCAAAGAGGAAAAAAAAUGCAUCCUGCCAAGACUUGAAGAAAGGGAUUAGAGAAACCAGAGGCCUUGAAUACUCAGAAAAUGGGAGAUUGUGAAUGGGUGUAGAGGAUAUCUAUGAACCUUGACAUUUCUUUUCACGCCAAGUCCAUUCCCCUGUUAACAGUUGCUUCCCAGUUUCCUGCACAGCUGCAUGGUCUGGGACACUUAAAGAAAAAAAUCACAGGAAAUCAGUGUUCUUGGUAUAUUAUAUAAAGUUAUGAUUCUAUCAA
This 1138-nucleotide non-coding RNA is filed under the name Pan troglodytes (chimpanzee). Lineage: Eukaryota; Metazoa; Chordata; Mammalia; Primates; Hominidae. The record is from RNAcentral.